AUGCUGGUAGCGGCCUCCCACGCCCCAGCAUUGUCACCUCCUGGAACCGCUGGUUCUCCUCGUCACCGAGCCGUGCGCCUUCUCCUCGCCCUGCCCCCAUGUCCAGUGUGUGCGCCAUCGCCUACUUGCUGCCGCCCGCCUGAGGUCCUUUCGUCUCGCUGGGUUUUGGAUUGGCAAGAACGACAUGCCAAGACCCGUACCCGGACCGUCAAGCACCUUCUCCAAGGAGUUUGCCAAGUACCAUGA
RNAcentral lists this ribosomal RNA (246 nucleotides) under Triticum aestivum (bread wheat). RNAcentral describes it as "partial small subunit ribosomal RNA". Lineage: Eukaryota; Viridiplantae; Streptophyta; Magnoliopsida; Poales; Poaceae. The record is from RNAcentral.